GCGAUCGGAGACCUCU
Molecule: ribosomal RNA, 16 nt
Filed under: Hypopterygium didictyon
Lineage: Eukaryota; Viridiplantae; Streptophyta; Bryopsida; Hookeriales; Hypopterygiaceae
Description: partial 26S ribosomal RNA
Source: RNAcentral